GACAGAGGUUGCAAACGUUGUUCGGAAUCACUGGGCAUAAAGCGCACGUAGGCGGUCUGUUAAGUCAGGUGUGAAAGCCCCCGGCUCAACCGGGGAAUUGCAUUUGAUACUGGCAGGCUCGAGAACGGUAGGGGUGAGUGGAACUCCAGGUGGAGCGGUGAAAUGCGUAGAUAUCGGGAGGAACACCAAUGGCGAAGGCAGCUCGCUGGGACGUUACUGACGCUGAGACGCGAAAGCGUGGGGAGCAAACAGG
Molecule: ribosomal RNA, 253 nt
Filed under: uncultured bacterium
Lineage: Bacteria
Description: partial 16S ribosomal RNA
Rfam family: Bacterial small subunit ribosomal RNA
Source: RNAcentral